This 1060-nucleotide ribosomal RNA is filed under the name Salmonella enterica. RNAcentral's name for it is "partial 23S ribosomal RNA". It matches the Rfam family "Bacterial large subunit ribosomal RNA", at positions 161 to 1261 of the family's 2925-position model. The record is from RNAcentral. Lineage: Bacteria; Pseudomonadati; Pseudomonadota; Gammaproteobacteria; Enterobacterales; Enterobacteriaceae. RNAcentral also lists the same sequence under 1 other name.
AAUCCAUAGGUUAAUGAGGCGAACCGGGGGAACUGAAACAUCUAAGUACCCCGAGGAAAAGAAAUCAACCGAGAUUCCCCCAGUAGCGGCGAGCGAACGGGGAGGAGCCCAGAGCCUGAAUCAGCAUGUGUGUUAGUGGAAGCGUCUGGAAAGGCGCGCGAUACAGGGUGACAGCCCCGUACACAAAAGCGCAUGUGCUGUGAGCUCGAUGAGUAGGGCGGGACACGUGGUAUCCUGUCUGAAUAUGGGGGGACCAUCCUCCAAGGCUAAAUACUCCUGACUGACCGAUAGUGAACCAGUACCGUGAGGGAAAGGCGAAAAGAACCCCGGCGAGGGGAGUGAAAAAGAACCUGAAACCGUGUACGUACAAGCAGUGGGAGCACCCUUUGGGUGUGACUGCGUACCUUUUGUAUAAUGGGUCAGCGACUUAUAUUCUGUAGCAAGGUUAACCGAAUAGGGGAGCCGGAGGGAAACCGAGUCUUAACCGGGCGUUAAGUUGCAGGGUAUAGACCCGAAACCCGGUGAUCUAGCCAUGGGCAGGUUGAAGGUUGGGUAACACUAACUGGAGGACCGAACCGACUAAUGUUGAAAAAUUAGCGGAUGACCUGUGGCUGGGGGUGAAAGGCCAAUCAAACCGGGAGAUAGCUGGUUCUCCCCGAAAGCUAUUUAGGUAGCGCCUCGUGAAUUCAUCUCCGGGGGUAGAGCACUGUUUCGGCUAGGGGGCCAUCCCGGCUUACCAACCCGAUGCAAACUGCGAAUACCGGAGAAUGUUAUCACGGGAGACACACGGCGGGUGCUAACGUCCGUCGUGAAGAGGGAAACAACCCAGACCGCCAGCUAAGGUCCCAAAGUCAUGGUUAAGUGGGAAACGAUGUGGGAAGGCCCAGACAGCCAGGAUGUUGGCUUAGAAGCAGCCAUCAUUUAAAGAAAGCGUAAUAGCUCACUGGUCGAGUCGGCCUGCGCGGAAGAUGUAACGGGGCUAAACCAUGCACCGAAGCUGCGGCAGCGACACUGUGUGUUGUUGGGUAGGGGAGCGUUCUGUAAGCCUGUGAAGGUGUGU